Molecule: ribosomal RNA, 124 nt
Organism: Cricetulus griseus (Chinese hamster)
Lineage: Eukaryota; Metazoa; Chordata; Mammalia; Rodentia; Cricetidae
Source: Ensembl
GGCUAUACCACCCUGAACGCACCUAAACUAGUCUGAUCUUGGAAGCUAAGCAGAACCAAGCCUGAUUAGUGCUUGGAUGGCACAGAAUCUGCAUAUUCACAAGUUCCUGGGGAUCUCUGGUGCU